RNAcentral lists this transfer RNA (88 nucleotides) under Chloroflexota bacterium. Its description in RNAcentral is "Chloroflexi bacterium tRNA-Ser". It matches the Rfam family "tRNA". Rfam says of the family: Transfer RNA (tRNA) molecules are approximately 80 nucleotides in length. Their secondary structure includes four short double-helical elements and three loops (D, anti-codon, and T loops). The record is from RNAcentral. RNAcentral also lists the same sequence under 4 other names. Lineage: Bacteria; Bacillati; Chloroflexota.
GGAGGGAUGGCCGAGUGGUCGAUGGCGGUGGUCUUGAAAACCACUAAGGUGCAAGCCUUCGGGGGUUCGAAUCCCUCUCCCUCCGCCA